CGGGGCUUAGUGCCGCAGCUAACGCAUUAAGCACUCCGCCUGGGGAGUACGACCGCAAGGUUGAAACUCAAAGGAAUUGACGGGGGCCCGCACAGGCGGUGGAGCAUGUGGUUUAAUUCGAAGCAACGCGAAGAACCUUACCAGGUCUUGACAUCCCUCUGACCGCUCUAGAGAUAGAGUUUUCCUUCGGGACAGAGGUGACAGGUGGUGCAUGGUUGUCGUCAGCUCGUGUCGUGAGAUGUUGGGUUAAGUCCCGCAACGAGCGCAACCCCUAUUGUUAGUUGCCAUCAUUCAGUUGGGCACUCUAGCGAGACUGCCGGUAAUAAACCGGAGGAAGGUGGGGAUGACGUCAAAUCAUCAUGCCCCUUAUGACCUGGGCUACACACGUGCUACAAUGGCUGGUACAACGAGUCGCAAGCCGGUGACGGCAAGCUAAUCUCUGAAAGCCAGUCUCAGUUCGGAUUGUAGGCUGCAACUCGCCUACAUGAAGUCGGAAUCGCUAGUAAUCGCGGAUCAGCACGCCGCGGUGAAUACGUUCCCGGGCCUUGUACACACCGCCCGUCACACCACGAGAGUUUGUAACACCCGAAGUCGGUGGGGUAACCGUAAGGAGCCAGCCGCC
This 622-nucleotide ribosomal RNA is filed under the name uncultured bacterium. Its description in RNAcentral is "bacterial SSU rRNA". It matches the Rfam family "Bacterial small subunit ribosomal RNA", at positions 834 to 1457 of the family's 1533-position model. The record is from RNAcentral.